CUUUCCCGUGGGGAGAGGCUUGCCCUAGUGUGGCACGUCCUCUCUGCCAUGCCGCUCCACAUCCUCUCGGCCAUUGCCCUGAAUGCCAGCACCCUUCGACGGGCCAACCGGGUGAUCCGUGACUUUCUCUGGCAUGGGCGAAAGGACGCGGCUACUGGCAGCUGUCCCGUGGACUAGCGGAAGGUGUGCAUGCCGACCCAUCUUGGCGGCCUUGGUGUGCGUGACCUGCAGAGAGUGGGCAUCGCCCUCAAAGUCUGAUGGCUCUGGCUUCAGUCUACAGACCCUUCCCGCCCUUGGGGCCAUCUCCAGUUGCAACACGACGCCGAGGUCCGGGCCAUCUUCCGCGCCUCGACUAGUUGGGUGCUCGGUGAUGGUCGUACCUGCCGCUUCUGGACCGACCAUUGGAUUCAAGGCCAAUGUGUCGCUGAGUUUGCACCCGCUGUCCUCGCCUUGGUCUCUAAGCGGAGACGCAGGUCCCGUUUGGUGGCGGACGGCUUGCUGCACCGCGCUUGGGUGCAGGACAUCCAAGGGGCUUUGGGGCCUCUUGCGACCCUCCAGUACAUCGAGCUUUGGCAUCGUGUU
RNAcentral lists this ribosomal RNA (582 nucleotides) under Triticum aestivum (bread wheat). Its description in RNAcentral is "partial small subunit ribosomal RNA". The record is from RNAcentral. Lineage: Eukaryota; Viridiplantae; Streptophyta; Magnoliopsida; Poales; Poaceae.